RNAcentral lists this ribosomal RNA (274 nucleotides) under uncultured bacterium. Its description in RNAcentral is "partial 16S ribosomal RNA". It matches the Rfam family "Bacterial small subunit ribosomal RNA", at positions 523 to 796 of the family's 1533-position model. The record is from RNAcentral.
AUACGGAGGGUGCAAGCGUUAUUCGGAAUCACUGGGCGUAAAGGACGCGUAGGCGGGAUGCCAAGUCUGAUGUGAAAUCCUAUGGCUCAACCAUAGAACUGCAUUGGAAACUGGUAACCUAGAGUAUGGGAGGGGGAGAUGGAAUUAGUGGUGUAGGGGUAAAAUCCGUAGAUAUCACUAGGAAUACCGAAAGCGAAGGCGAUCUCCUGGAACAAUACUGACGCUAAGGCGUGAAAGCGUGGGGAGCAAACGGGAUUAGAAACCCUUGUAGUCC